CUAAACUUCUCAACAAUUUUAGUCGCACCACCCUCUUGCUCUCUCUAAACUUAGCCACCUUCAUAGCCAGCGCCAUCGACAACGAUGGCUUUUACAGCUGCUGAAAUUUCCAAGCUCUCCGCACCAAUGCCGGUGACAAUCAAGCUGUCCGCACCACCACCACAGAGAACCACAGCAGCCGCCGAGAACCAACCAGUCGUCCGCACCACCGCCGCCGAGAACCACAGUAGCUGCCGACAAUCAACCAGUCGUCCGCUUAUGUUGGAUUUGCUGACAGUGAACUUCUCAUUGGUGACGCUGCUAAGAAUCAGGUCGCCAUGAUUCCGAUCAAAACUAUUUUCGGUAAGUGUUCGAUCUAUUUUCCCCAUCUAAUCCUCGCUUGUAUGUAUAUUUGGUGCUGUUUUACGUAAUGUCAUUAUUGAUGAGAUCAGGUUUGAUGAAAAACGUGAUGUGAUAUUUGUUUAGCUUGGUUUGUAUUAGCUGUUGCUUCCAGUGUUGUUUAUUUCCAGUGAGAAUGAGAACAAUUGUAACUUAAAUUUGAUUUGGCUCGAAAACUAUUUAAAUUGACUCCGAAACGUGACAAGUAAAAAAAAGUGGGCAUACCUUAAUAAAAAGCAUGUAGAAAAAUGUAAUAUAUGGAUACAUACUAUAAUCUGUUUUGUGAAUUAGUUCAGAGGUAGGUAUGUUGAUCUAAUCUUGGAAAUAAAACGUAGUGAGCCUAUAAGCUCAUUAUGUGCACUAUGAUUAGUCGAUUAGUUAUGCAAUGUGACAUGAGAUGGGAACAUCUUUUGUUAUUAGAAACCUAAAGUACGAGCCCGGUUUGCCUUAUACCUCAUGAGAAUUUGACUUAAUACAGUGCAUCAAUGAGUAUUGAGGGUGUUUGAAUUUAAUUUGAUUUGUAAUAUAGGUUUGGUCAUUGGUGUGACUAAUGUUGAUUCUUAUUGGUGAUAUUGAAUUUAUGUUUUUGGCACCACAACAGCCGCGGAGACGGUUAAGUGUAGUGUUUUGAAAUGUGAAAUAGUGACUUCAAAUUGAUCAAGUGUAGUCACUUGAGAAGUGAAUUAGUGACUUGAAAAUAGUUAAGUUUAGUCACUUGAGAAGUGAAUUAGAGAGUUGAAAAUGGUUAAGUGUAGUGUUUUGAAAUGAGUACUAGUGACUUCAAAUUAAUCACGUGUGUAGUCACUUGAAAUGUAAAUUAGAGAGUUGAAAAUGGUUAAGUGUUGUGUUUUGAAAUGUGUACUAGUGACUUCAAAUUGAUCAAGUGUGUAGUCACUUGACAUGUGAAUUCACGACUUGAAAAUGAUUAAGUUUAGUCACUUGAAAUGUGAAUUAGAGAGUUGAAAAUUGUUAAGUGUAGUGUUUGAAAUGUGUACUAGUGACUUCAAAUUGAUCAAGUGUAGUCACUUGAGAAGUGAAUCAGUGACUUGAAAAUGAUUUUGUGUAGUUACUUGAAAGGUAAACUUGUGUUUUGAAAUUAGUAAAGUGUAAUUUCUUGAAAGUAUGAAUUCAUGACUUGAAAUCGAUUUAGUGUUGUCACGUGAAAUGUGAAUUCAUGACGUAAAAAUGGUUAAGUUUAGUUACUUGAGAAGUGAAUUAGAGAGUUGAAAAUGGUUAAGUGUAGUGUUUUUAAAUGUGUACUAGUGACUUCAAAUUGAUCAAGUGUAGUCACUUGAGAAGUGAAUUAGUGACUUGAAAAUGAUUAAGUUUAGUCAUUUGAGAAUUGAAUUAGAGAGUUGAAAAUGGUUAGGUGUAGUGUUUUAAAAUGUGUACUAGUGACUUCAAAUUGAUCAAGUGUGUAGUCACUUGAAUGGAAAUUAGAGAGUUGAAAAUGGUUUAGUGUUUUUAAAUGUGUACUAGUGACUUCAAAUUGAUCAAGUGUGUAGUUACUUGAAAUGUGAGUUCAUGAUUUGAAAAUGGUUAGUUUAGUCACUUGAAAUAUGAAUUAGAGAGUUGAAAAUUGUUAAGUGUAGUGUUUUGAAAUGUGUACUACUGACUUCAAAUUGAUCAAGUGUAGUCACUUGAGAAGUAAAUUAGUAACUUGAAAAUGGUUUAGUAUAGUUACUUUAAAGAUGAACUUGUGUUUUGAAAUUUGUAAAGUGUAGUCAUUUGAAAAUGUGAAUUCAUGACUUGAAAUUGGUUUAGUGUUGUCACUUGAAAUGUGAAUUCAUGACUUGAAAAUGGUUUAACAUUGUCACUUGAAAUGUAAAUUCAUGACUUGAAAAUGGUUAGGUGUAGUGUUUUGAAAUGUGUACUAGUAAAUUCAAAAUGAUCAAGUCACCUCCACCUCCACCUCCUCCUGUAAAAGAAGAUACUGAUUCAGAUUUGAUUGGUCUAGUUUCCGGAGAUACGAACAUGCUUGGUAGAGUUUUUAUUGAGCCUAAUGGAUCUUCAUAAGUUUAUUUUUCAAUUUAUAUAUAUAUAUAUAUAUAUAUAUAUGUAUAUAUAUAUGUGUGUGUAUAUAUAUAUAUCAUAUAACACUAGUCAAUUGAUUUUUUGACAAUGUGUUGUUGGUUGGCAAAACACUAUCAAGCUAUUUCUACAAUUUUUGAGAGACAUGUUGCUAUGUCACAACAGAUUGACAUCUUAGACGUGUCUUGGCACAGAUCGUUGGUCCUAAUUCAAUUAGCAAAGAGGAGACAAAGAGUGAUGAGGAGUAUGUUGGGGCUACUCCUUAGUGUUGUUGGACUUGACUUUUAGAUAAGUUUUAGAUAUUUUUGAACUUAGUUUUUUAUUAGUGAAAAAUCUUUAGGAGUGUUUAAGUAUUUUGAAUAUUGUUGGAUUGAUUGUUUAAAUGUCUUGGAUGUCGUUGGAUUGAUUGUUUAAAUGUUGUUGAUUUGAAUUGCUUAAAUGAUUUGUUGAUGUAGUGUGUUGUAUGAUUAUUGUAAUAAUGUGUGUUGCACGAGGAUGUAUAUAUUGAAUUAUAUUUUUAUUUGGCAGGUGGGGUGUAGAAAAUGCAGAUUUCUGCAACCAAAAAAAUGUAGAAAAGCGAUGGACAAGGUCCUUUUUGUCCGUCGCUUUUUUGAAAUACAUUUCCAGAAAUGGGACGCUUUGCAUCACUUUUUAAAUUAGUAAUUUAUUUUUAAAAAGAAAAACGACGAUGUCCGUCACUUUUUUAUUCAUUAUGAAGAACAAAGCGAUGACCAACAUCACUUUUUAUUCAUCCCCAACUGGCUAACCAACUGAUGCUUGGGACACUCUCUACUAAAAUGAUAAUCCUUUUUGCCAUAUAACAUAUCUUAGGAGCUCUAGAAUGGCAAAGAACGUGUGUUGACCCUGCUUGAACAACCUAUUCAUGCCCGAGGUGCUCCCCAGAUCAAUGACCAACCUCUCUAUGUUGAUCCCUGCUGGGCGAAUCUCUACCCUCCGACGGAGCACCACUAACACUAAAUUGCUAACAUAGACUCUUACUCCCACCUCCAGAUGUCUUAAUAUAUGCCCUCUCUAUUUUUCUCACAUGAGGGAAAUACGACCCAGCUACUAUCAAAUUCUUCAACGCCAAGCAGGAGUGGCAAAGUUAAUCCUCUAACAAAUCCACACACCAAAUCGUGCUUUGAAGGAUAUAGUAUAGGAGUAUGUCUAGACCACUCAAAAAAUCCAAUCUCAUACUCUGAACAAACAGAGAACCUUGUUGAACACCAAUAAAUCUAACUUUGGUUUGAGAACCACUCAUACACCAGACAUUAUCUCUAGUUAUCCACUAAAAUACUCAGAUUCCCUAACACUCUAUCCUAAGAACUAAGGCAGUCACAAAUUCUAUUAGAGCCUGGACUGGACCCAAUUUUCUAGUUGACGAUGAAGAUCUUUGACAUUUAUCUCUAACACCCUAGCCUAAUAUUGUGCUGAAACUUUAGAAACACGUGCGAAAGUCUCAUCCGCAUCUACCGACAACCUUAUGCUAUCUAUUCUAGGAAAAAGUUGAGGUAAAAGAAGUACUAAAGGUUCAUAGAAGUACUAAUACAUGAUAAGGAGUCAAGAAUCAAAUUUUGUAAAAAUGCCAUGUAGCCUCUCGAAGAUAAAAUAUAGAUAUCUCUGUACCAAUCCGCAGGACUCUACUAGACACCUAGCUCUUGUAUCAAUAAAUUGAUAAACCUAGGCUCUGACACUAAUUUGUCAUGACGUAAUUUCUCAUGUCAUGAUAACACAUAUUAUAACCCAUAAGUAGGUAAGCCAUCAUAUAGUCUGAAAUAGAUAAUAACGAACAAAUAAGAAAGACAAAAGUAACACUAAUUAACAAAGAGCAAAAAAGCAAGAAGAAGGUAAUAAUAUUCCUGAAACCUAGUAAAAUCAGUACAAGAGCUUCAAAUACAAUAGGAGUAUAAGUAAAAUACAAAAGAAAUAUAUAUACAAAGAUUUCUCUAAAUACAAAAUAGAGAUUAGUCUAACAAUGAGAGGAAAAAUAAAAAUACUCCAAAUAUUAAGAGCUCAGCCUGCCUCUUCGAUCUGUGGUUACUCUACACGAUGCACACUAUAACAGAAAAAACCCGUACUAUGAUUUGCAAACUACAAAAGUGUAGUAUGAGCACCAAAUAUGUGGUACUCAAUAAGCAUAAGCUGACUGAGCUCCAAAGAUAAUGUAAGUAUAAAUAAUAGUUAAAGCAAGAAUAUAAACUACAAGCAACUAUCUAGGAAACUAAGCAUAAUCAUGCUAAUGAAAAAUAAAGGUAAACUAUCCUAUUCUAAUAGUAAUUAGGGACUAAUCAUGCAAUACCAUAUAUCACUAGCCAAUAUAAAAAUGAAGAGCGAAAGAAGGAUAUAUGGUAGUAAUACCAGUCCAAAGGAUACAUAUGCAAUAUGAAUAUAUAAAAAAGAGAAGUAUAUAUAGUAAUACCAUAUAUACAUACAUGUAUAUACAUAUAAAAGACUAACUCAAUGAUAAUAACUUGAGUGAAUCAAUCGAACAUCACGAGGAUCGUAGCCAAGAAGGAAAUCUAAUACUAGCAUAAUCAGGGUCGCUAACAAAAGGAUGACUAAACAUGAGAUAAUACAACAAUAAUAUAUCUUAAUAUAAAAAAGAAAAGGAAUCAGAAAUGUACCAACAACCUCAGAACUAGUCCAUAAUCACCCUUCCAUGAAUUAACUAGAAUGACCAAUAAUAAAGUAACUAGCUAGUAUAGACAAACAAUAACCUAAUCGGGCCUCCAUAAGCCCGAAAAAUGCAAUCAAACAUUCAGCAAACAACAACCAAUACUUAUACCUUUACAACCCCCUAAAAGGUCGAUAGAUAUAAGCACUAAACAAUAUACUGGCCAUAGGCAAUGCAUAUGAAUGAAUGAAUGCACAUAAAUAAAUAGUAACCCAUAUCUAAUUCAAGUGCCAAAUGUACCAAGUGUAUACACCUCCUACAACUUAGUAGCUCACAAAUACAGGACCUAUGGAGACCAUCCUUCCUUGUCACUAUGGCUCACGGAUGAAGGAGCCCAUAGAGAACGGGAAAUAUUUGUAUACAUUGCAUGGUCCCAAACUAGGACUUCAAAUAAC
This 5478-nucleotide long non-coding RNA is filed under the name Capsicum annuum. RNAcentral describes it as "long non-coding RNA (CANN_LNC013858)". Lineage: Eukaryota; Viridiplantae; Streptophyta; Magnoliopsida; Solanales; Solanaceae. The record is from RNAcentral.